AUGGGUCACGAGGCUGCUCCAUCGCCUGUGGUUUGUAGGCGCAAUACCAUGCGUCUCCAUUGCGCUGCUGCAGGCUGGGGAAUGAUGGUGCUGCUCUGCCCCGGCUACCUUGUGUCGACCACUAAUCUGAACUCUAGUGCAGAACAGAAUACAACCCAAAGGAACUCCAAGUCGCCUCGACAUGGCCUUCUGGUUGUCAUACCCAUGAAAUCUGCGAGCUUUGGAAAUCAGUUCGACAGAGUUGUACUACUCCAUGACGAAGAUGUUAGUAGCGCAACUUACCUUGUCACCAAAAAGAUUUGUUAUCUAAUUAUUUGUUCCAUCUGCGCCUCAUCAUGUGAUUUCCCCCCCCUUUCAAUUUUGUACCUACAAGAUGUCAGUUAA
This 384-nucleotide ribosomal RNA is filed under the name Triticum aestivum (bread wheat). RNAcentral describes it as "partial small subunit ribosomal RNA". The record is from RNAcentral. Lineage: Eukaryota; Viridiplantae; Streptophyta; Magnoliopsida; Poales; Poaceae.